Molecule: unclassified non-coding RNA, 211 nt
Filed under: plant metagenome
Description: partial contains small subunit ribosomal RNA and internal transcribed spacer 1
Rfam family: Eukaryotic small subunit ribosomal RNA (bases 1-46)
Source: RNAcentral
AAGUCAUAACAAGGUUUCUGUAGGUGAACCUGCAGAAGGAUCAUUAUUUGAAUUGUUUAGAAUUCGGGAAUUUCGUAUUCGGAAUGCAUUCCUUCAUCACAUUUCUUUUAUUUCCUAAACACCUGUGAAUCGUUGCUGAGUUCGCUCAGUAGCAACAUUUUUUUAUACACACAUAAUAGUUUAGAACGUAAAAAUAUAUAAUAAAAUACAA